RNAcentral lists this long non-coding RNA (385 nucleotides) under Hordeum vulgare. Its description in RNAcentral is "long non-coding RNA (HVUL_LNC018892)". The record is from RNAcentral. Lineage: Eukaryota; Viridiplantae; Streptophyta; Magnoliopsida; Poales; Poaceae.
GAGUAGGGAUUGCCAUGCAACAGAUGGACAAGAGCUAUAAGUGUAUGAAAGUUCAAAGAGAAACUAGUGGGUGUGCAUCCAACUCGCUUGCUCACGAAGACCUAGGGAAAUUUGAGGAAGCCCAUCAUUGGAAUAUAGAAGCCAAGUUCUAUAAUGAAAAUUUCCACUAGUAUAUGAAAGUGGCAACAUAGGAGACUCUCUAUCAUGAAGAUCAUGGUGCUACUUUGAAGCACAAGUGCGGUAAGGGAUAGUAGCAUUGUCCCUUCUCUCUUUUCUCUCAUUUUUUUUCUUUUUUUGGUGGGCUUGUUUGGCCUCUUCUUUUUUUAUUUGGGCUUCAUUGGCCUCUUUUAUUACUUCCUCACAGGGGACAAUGCUCUAAUAAUGA